This 1167-nucleotide long non-coding RNA is filed under the name Phoenix dactylifera (date palm). RNAcentral describes it as "long non-coding RNA (PDAC_LNC014231)". The record is from RNAcentral. Lineage: Eukaryota; Viridiplantae; Streptophyta; Magnoliopsida; Arecales; Arecaceae.
AGUAUGCGAAGGCGAUGUGGACGAGUAUUUAGUCCCACAUUACCUAUGCAAUGGGUAGAUCUUGGAUACCUAUACAGGACCAAAAAACCCAAAUAACAUCUUCUAGCUAGCCUUUUGGUGAGAUCAUGGAUUAUUAUAAAUGGUAUCAGAGAGGACCCAGCCUAUAGUCAUGUGGACUAAAAGAAAUACUGCAACAUGGUCUAUUUGGAUUGACCAUAGAUUUAUCAUGGUAUUUGUGAUUAGAUUUAUGGUACUUGUGAUUAGCUUUGAAUGGAUUUGGACUCUUAGGGUGACGAGGAUGCUUAGGCUUGAAAGAGGGGGAGUGUGUGAAGACCCAUGCAAGCAUGUGUCUAGUUCCACAUUGGUUAUUCAUUAGAAAAAUCUUGGAUAUUUAUACAAAGCCAAGGAACCCAAAUAACAUCGUAUGGCUAGCUUUUUUAGGUGAGGUCUUAGGUUGUUGUCUGAAUCCCUCCUAGAAUCCUACCUUAAAAAGAUCAAUUGAUGUAGCCAUUGGUUGCCAUGUUGUCGAGGAACAACCAGCUAUUGGAGGUUUGUAGAGCCCACUGAAAAAAUAUGGCCACAACUAUGUAGAUAAAGUUUUUAGCUACAAGAAAAUCUUAGUUGAACAAAAGUUGAGACUACCAUCUAAAAUGCUGAGAGUAUGAAGAGUUUGGUAGAAAUCAUCUAACGGGGUGUUUGGUAUGGGGUGAGCCACCUAGGAUCAAGAGUGAUUUGAGUGAAAAUAAUGAGAUCAUCGUAUUUGGUUGCACCUUAGUGAUCUUAUAUAGCAGUGAUCCCAGAUCACCUUUACUUCUCAAAUCACUGGCCAACCGGAUGAUGGGAAACCCAUCCUUGAGGAUGGGUAUCUAAUAUAACUCCAACACAGUGAUCUUGGGAUAAUCUUGCCCCUUGAUCAAGUAAUUUAGUAUUGGCUAAGUCUCCGCAUGCUGGGUACGAGAGACUUCAAAAAAGUGUCGUCUCAGAAAGAGUGCCCAUGAAGAAGCACCAUCCGCAAAGGAUUUGGAUUUGAUAUUUUCCUCUUUCUAUUUUUUGGCCAUACCGAUUUCUUGAUUUUGGGAUUAUUGAUUCUUUUAUUUUUUGAUUUCUUGAUAUUUUGAUCUUUUGAUUUUUUAUAUUUGAUUGAGUCCAUCUUGUUUUCUUGCACAU